Molecule: long non-coding RNA, 1131 nt
Filed under: Fragaria vesca (wild strawberry)
Lineage: Eukaryota; Viridiplantae; Streptophyta; Magnoliopsida; Rosales; Rosaceae
Description: long non-coding RNA (FVES_LNC002430)
Source: RNAcentral
CCCUUGAUUUUGUUGUCUUCUUAAUAAUUUGGAAGCUUACUCUGUUUCGUUAAAGCUUGAUCUGAAAAUAAUCUUAUUGCGUUAUAUGUUUCAAGCUCUGUUUACAAGUAAGUUGAAAGAUCCACUCAUUUUUUAUGUCUGAGUUAUAUACUCUAAUAUCACAUGAUUCUGGAAGUUCAAAUGAUACUUAAUUUAUUUGGCUAUUUGCAACUUUGAAAUCUUUAUCCAAGUAGGAAUCAUGUUGGGAAGUUAGGUCAGUACAGGUAAAUCAAAUUCUUCUGGGUUAUUAUAAAGGGAUUUAAAAUUAUGUUUAAAUCAUGUUGGGAAGUUAGGUCAGUACAGGUAAAUCAAAUUCUUCUGGGUUAUUAUAAAGGGAUUUAAAAUUACGUUUAAAGCUUUUUGUGAAAUUACAGUGAUGGCAGAUUGGUUUAUAGGGGUUAAUGUUGGUCUAUGGAUGAACUAAAGUUGAACUAGAUGCUUUGAGAAACCUAGCUUUUCAUGAAAUUAAAUUUCAUGAUCCCUUGUCAAUACCUUUCUUUGGCCACACUUUGGUCGCCCUCAUUGAAUGGAAGCUAGAUACUGGGUAAUAUAUUUAGAUUUUGGUAUAUGAUCAACUUAUGGAGGACAGUAAAACAUGUGGCAAUUCUGUAAGUUGUGUAUCAUUGUUAUAAAUUGUAGCUAUGUAAAGAACUAGGAACUUGGGGAGAAAUCCCAAGAGAAAAGAAGGGACUUCUUAUUUCGAAUAAAAAGAAGAGAAAAAAAGAAGGAAUUUCUACAAUUAUCACACAAGUAUGAAUAUGGGGAGCCCUCCUUGGAACCUUAGGCAUCAAACUUGGGUUAGAUUGCAUCUUUGUGUCCUACAGAGAACCAUAUUCUAACGGGAACAUAUGUUGGAUUCAUUCAUGUGAAAACAAAUAUUUAUAAGCCUAUACAUGGAGUGCUGUAAUGAUAUUCGUUUUCGAUAAAACUCAGACUCCUUAAUAGUAAUGAAAGACACUAGAGAUAUGGUUUCUAAUUCUAGGUUUCUCCAUCACAAUAAAAGCAGUGUUGCUGCAGUUGGGAUUGAUCCAACCCAAAUGUGCCAGGUCCUAAGUUGGUUUAACAUGCUUUGGUUUAUUCCUUCUUUCCCAC